This 336-nucleotide ribosomal RNA is filed under the name uncultured bacterium. RNAcentral describes it as "bacterial SSU rRNA". It matches the Rfam family "Bacterial small subunit ribosomal RNA", at positions 18 to 344 of the family's 1533-position model. The record is from RNAcentral.
CAUGGCUCAGGAUGAACGUUGGCGGCGUGCUUAAUACAUGCAAGUAGAACGCUGAAGCUUGGUGCUUGCACCGAGCGGAAGAGUUGCGAACGGGUGAGUAACGCGUAGGUAACAUGCCUCUUAGCGGGGGAAAACUAUUGGAAACGAUAGCUAAUACCGCAUAAAAGUCGGCAUUGCAUGAUGUUGACUUGAAAGGUGCAACUGCAUCACUAAGAGAUGGACCUGCGUUGUAUUAGCUAGUUGGUGAGGUAACGGCUCACCAAGGCGACGAUACAUAGCCGACCUGAGAGGGUGAUCAGCCACACUAGGACUGAGACACGGCCCAGACUCCUACGG